ACGGGUGAGUAAUACAUCGGAACGUAUCCUGGAGUGGGGGAUAGCCCGGCGAAAGCCGGAUUAAUACCGCAUACGCUCUGAGGAGGAAAGCGGGGGACCUUCGGGCCUCGCGCUCAAGGGGCGGCCGAUGGCGGAUUAGGUAGUUGGUGGGGUAAAGGCCUACCAAGCCGACGAUCCGUAGCUGGUCUGAGAGGACGACCAGCCACACUGGGACUGAGACACGGCCCAGACUCCUACGGGAGGCAGCAGUGGGGAAUUUUGGACAAUGGGGGCAACCCUGAUCCAGUAAUGCCGCGUGUGUGAAGAAGGCCUUCGGGUUGUAAAGCACUUUUGUCCGGAAAGAAAUCAUCGGGGCCAAUACCCCUGGUGGAUGACGGUACCGGAAGAAUAAGCACCGGCUAACUACGUGCCAGCAGCCGCGGUAAUACGUAGGGUGCGAGCGUUAAUCGGAAUUACUGGGCGUAAAGCGUGCGCAGGCGGUGCUGUAAGACCGAUGUGAAAUCCCCGGGCUUAACCUGGGAACUGCAUUGGUGACUGCAGCGCUGGAGUAUGGCAGAGGGGGGUGGAAUUCCACGU
Molecule: ribosomal RNA, 576 nt
Filed under: uncultured bacterium
Lineage: Bacteria
Description: bacterial SSU rRNA
Rfam family: Bacterial small subunit ribosomal RNA
Source: RNAcentral